UUUCCGUAGGUGAACCUGCGGAAGGAUCAUUAUUGGAUUUUGAAACUUCAGGCUGCUGCUGUCUCUCCUCGGAGGGCAUGUGCACGCUUGUUGUCCAUUAUUUCUACCACUGUGCACGAAUUGUAGACCUUUCAGUAGUCCUAUGUUGUUUUUACACAAUCUCUGAAUGUAAUAGAAUGGUUUUGAAACUUGGGAAAUACAAUACAACUUUCAGCAACGGAUAUUUUGGCUCUCGUAUCGAUGAGGAACGCAG
Molecule: unclassified non-coding RNA, 253 nt
Filed under: plant metagenome
Description: partial contains small subunit ribosomal RNA, internal transcribed spacer 1, and 5.8S ribosomal RNA
Rfam family: 5.8S ribosomal RNA (bases 206-253)
Source: RNAcentral